This 559-nucleotide small RNA is filed under the name Lodderomyces elongisporus. Its description in RNAcentral is "eukaryotic LSU rRNA". The stretch from base 205 to 358 matches the Rfam family "5.8S ribosomal RNA". The record is from RNAcentral. Lineage: Eukaryota; Fungi; Ascomycota; Pichiomycetes; Serinales; Debaryomycetaceae.
UCCGUAGGUGAACCUGCGGAAGGAUCAUUACAGAAUUUUGAGAAUUGUGCUUAACUGCACUUUUCUUAUCUACACACGUGUUUUUGUUUUAUUCUUAAAACUUGCUUUGGCAGUGGCUGCUUAAUUGCUCUGCUGCCAGAGGAUAAACUCAACCUAAAUUUUUUAUUUUAAACUAGUCAACUGAUUAUAUUUAUUAAUAGUCAAAACUUUCAACAACGGAUCUCUUGGUUCUCGCAUCGAUGAAGAACGCAGCGAAAUGCGAUAAGUAAUAUGAAUUGCAGAUAUUCGUGAAUCAUCGAAUCUUUGAACGCACAUUGCGCCCUCUGGUAUUCCGGAGGGCAUGCCUGUUUGAGCGUCAUUUCUCCCUCAAACCCCCGGGUUUGGUGAUGAGCAAUACGCCAGGUUUGCUUGAAAGUUAGGAGGAGUAUUUAUAACAAUGUAUUAGGUCUAACCACUCCAUUGUGCUUAAUAAAAGCUCCAAUCUAUAUUUCAAACUUCGACCUCAAAUCAGGUAGGAUUACCCGCUGAACUUAAGCAUAUCAAUAAGCGGAGGAAAAGA